UACGAAGGUGUCUAGCGUUGUUCGGAAUCACUGGGCGUAGAGCGGGCGCAGGCGGACUAUCCAGUCAGGGGUGAAAUCCUGAGGCUUAACCUCAGAAUUGCCUUUGAAACUGAUAGUCUGGAGUGUGUGAGGGGGUAGCGGAAUUCCAAAUGUAGAGGUGAAAUUCGUAGAUAUUUGGAGGAACACCGGUGGCGAAGGCGGCUACCUGGCACACAACUGACGCUGAGGCCCGAAAGCGUGGGGAGCAAACAGG
RNAcentral lists this ribosomal RNA (253 nucleotides) under uncultured bacterium. RNAcentral's name for it is "partial 16S ribosomal RNA". It matches the Rfam family "Bacterial small subunit ribosomal RNA", at positions 524 to 776 of the family's 1533-position model. The record is from RNAcentral.